RNAcentral lists this ribosomal RNA (159 nucleotides) under uncultured bacterium. Its description in RNAcentral is "partial 16S ribosomal RNA". It matches the Rfam family "Bacterial small subunit ribosomal RNA", at positions 355 to 509 of the family's 1533-position model. The record is from RNAcentral.
UGAGGAAUAUUGGUCAAUGGGCGCAAGCCUGAACCAGCCAAGUCGCGUGAGGGAAGACGGUCCUAUGGAUUGUAAACCUCUUUUGUUCGGGGAGCAAAGCGCGGUACGAGUACCGCGAAGGAGAGUACCCGAAGAAAAAGCAUCGGCUAACUCCGUGCC